ACGUGCCGAGUAGUGGGGGAUAACGCAUCGAAAGGAGUGCUAAUACCGCAUACGAACUGAGGUUGAAAGUGGGGGACCUUCGGGCCUCACGCUAUUCGAGCGGCCGACGUCUGAUUAGCUAGUUGGUGAGGUAAAGGCUCACCAAGGCGACGAUCAGUAGCGGGUCUGAGAGGAUGAUCCGCCACACUGGGACUGAGACACGGCCCAGACUCCUACGGGAGGCAGCAGUGGGGAAUUUUGGACAAUGGGCGCAAGCCUGAUCCAGCCAUGCCGCGUGUCUGAAGAAGGCCUUCGGGUUGUAAAGGACUUUUGUCCGGGAGCAAAUACCUGGUGUUAAUAGCAUCGGGAGCUGAGAGUACCGGAAGAAUAAGCACCGGCUAACUACGUGCCAGCAGCCGCGGUAAUACGUAGGGUGCAAGCGUUAAUCGGAAUUACUGGGCGUAAAGCGUGCGCAGGCGGUUUUGUAAGCCAGAUGUGAAAGCCCCGGGCUCAACCUGGGAACUGCGUUUGGAACUACAAGACUAGAGUGUGUCAGAGGGGGGUGGAAUUCCGCGUGUAGCAGUGAAAUGCGUAGAGAUGCGGAGGAACACCGAUGGCGAAGGCAGCCCCCUGGGAUAACACUGACGCUCAUGCACGAAAGCGUGGGGAGCAAACAGGAUU
Molecule: ribosomal RNA, 660 nt
Filed under: uncultured bacterium
Lineage: Bacteria
Description: bacterial SSU rRNA
Rfam family: Bacterial small subunit ribosomal RNA
Source: RNAcentral